AAUAAGUGCAGUUUUGCACUGUUUAUAUCUAACGUUUGACCAUCCAUCUUAUUUGAACAAAUUUUAUGAUUAGUAUUUUUGUUGUUAUUAGAUGAUAAAACAUGAAUUGUACUUUAUGUGUGACUAAUAUUUUUUAUUUUUUCAUAAUUUUUUAAAUAAGACGAACGAUCAAACAUUGAACACGGAUAUUCAUGAUUGCGCUUAUU
Non-coding RNA from Oryza punctata, 206 nucleotides. The record is from Rfam. NCBI's taxonomy places the organism in Eukaryota, Viridiplantae, Streptophyta, Magnoliopsida, Poales, Poaceae.